This 253-nucleotide ribosomal RNA is filed under the name uncultured bacterium. Its description in RNAcentral is "partial 16S ribosomal RNA". It matches the Rfam family "Bacterial small subunit ribosomal RNA", at positions 524 to 776 of the family's 1533-position model. The record is from RNAcentral.
GACGAACUGUGCGAACGUUAUUCGGAAUCACUGGGCUUACAGGGUGCGUAGGCGGCCACGUAAGUAGGGUGUGAAAUCCCCCGGCCCAACCGGGGAACUGCGCUCUAAACUACAUGGCUUGAGUGAGCUAGGGGUCCACGGAACUUCCAGUGGAGCGGUGAAAUGUGUUGAUAUUGGAAGGAACACCGGAGGCGAAAGCGGUGGACUGGGGCUUAACUGACGCUGAGGCACAAAAGCCAGGGGAGCGAACGGG